UUUGAUUAUGUUAGGAAAAUU
Molecule: non-coding RNA, 21 nt
Filed under: Caenorhabditis elegans
Lineage: Eukaryota; Metazoa; Nematoda; Chromadorea; Rhabditida; Rhabditidae
Source: RNAcentral